Molecule: long non-coding RNA, 1026 nt
Organism: Nycticebus coucang (slow loris)
Lineage: Eukaryota; Metazoa; Chordata; Mammalia; Primates; Lorisidae
Exons: 5
Source: RefSeq, a predicted model, not a curated record
ACUGCCGAGAAGACUUGCGCGCAGGCGCGGUCUUGCGUUCUUUGCCAGGUCGGCCGCGUGGCUGGUGGUCAUGGCUGCUCCCGCUGGUGUUGAGACUAGGGAGCAACAUCGGGCUUGUGACGGUCAUCUGCAGAGGCGGGUGAAAAGCAGAGCUGCAGGUUGAAGCUUCAGAAUAACGGUGGGAGCCUUAAAAUAAAUGAAAGGUGUUGUCAUGUGAAAAUCCAUUAAUGAUGUUGAGUGUAAGAAUCUUCACGAUGAAAUUUCUGUAAAUGGUAUGGUCUCAGCCUCAGUUUCUGAGGCUGAAAAAGGACCUCUAGUAGUCACACUGGCAGGUGCCCUGAACCUGGACUGAAGUAGACCAUCUCAGGCAUGUUAACUGUAAUGGGAUGCCAGAUCAGCACAGCCCUGCCUCUGCUGCCAGUUGCUAAUGCCUGUAAAAUAAUCUACCCCAAAGAAUCAUUUGAGAGUUCUUUGGACUUCAUCUUUAAAGGAAUUCGAGUGGCUGGGAUUAUCCUAGAAAACCUUUGGCAGUUAGUGAAAUUAGGGUACAACUUAGUACAUUCAGACCUCCAGUUUGGGUGAUCUGGGUAUAAAGUUAUAAAUUAGCAGUUCUGAUAAUGAUUGUAAUUUGAAAUUAUUAACAUGUAUAUACUCUGUUAGGGGAGACUGAUGGGAAAUGUUUUUCCUAUGGGAGCAGUGUGUCUUGGGUUUAAAUUUUGAAGCACAAAUAAAGUUUUUUUAUUGACUUACUAACAUUGUGGAUUUCAGAUUGAAACCCACAGUGAGAAUGAUAUUUUAUUCUAUUACUUGGUAAACACAUUUGUAUGAGUUUCAGAAAAUAAAACUUAAUCCCACUUACACAGAAUGCCAUCUGAUGUUUUCUAUUUUUAUUUUUUGUUUUUUUUUUGGCCGGGGCUGGGUUUGAACCCACCACCUCUGGCAUAUGGGACCGGCGCCCUACUCCUUGAGCCACAGGCGCUGCCUGUUUUCUAUUUUUUUAAUAGCCUGCUAAAUUGAUUUUGUGCC